Hirundo rustica (Barn swallow) is the source of this 287-nucleotide long non-coding RNA. RefSeq lists it as uncharacterized. Lineage: Eukaryota; Metazoa; Chordata; Aves; Passeriformes; Hirundinidae. The record is from RefSeq and is a predicted model, not a curated record. The transcript is spliced from 3 exons.
CUGGUCUCCCAGGGAAGUGAAACAGCUUUCCUACUUUCUCGUGCUGCUCCGUGGAAAGGAGAGUGAAAGACAAACUGUAAGCCGAGAAUGGGAAUGGAUGUCCAGGAGCAGAAACGCAUCUCACACAGAGUUUGCAAGGUCUACCCCAAAGCCAAACAGAAGGAGUACAGGACUAGAGAGCGCAGGAGAGCUCACCCUUGGUCCAGGGAGAAGAUUGGCGGCUGAUCUUCAAAAUGAAUUUCUUUUUUUAAGCUAGUUUCCCAUGGCUCUGCUUUGCCAAGGUGACA